UAUGACAAGAGUGGCAGUUACAGUACUGAUUUAUAAAACUUAUAUUAAGCAGUGUACAAAGUUUCGAAGUGAGUGGGAAGCAGAUGAUUGAAGUACAUCCUUUUUUCAGAAUCUGAGUCUUAAAAGCUUUUCAUGUUAUUAGUGAGUGAUCUUAAAAGAAGCUGCGAUGGCAAAGAUUAUCAGUUCAUGCUCUUGAUGAGUAGACCAAGAGUAAGCUUGAUAUCAAUAGUCUAAAGUCUUUAGACUUGGAGCAGUUUAUCAAGGUUUCAUAUU
Molecule: long non-coding RNA, 273 nt
Organism: Pistacia vera
Lineage: Eukaryota; Viridiplantae; Streptophyta; Magnoliopsida; Sapindales; Anacardiaceae
Exons: 3
Source: RefSeq, a predicted model, not a curated record